This 259-nucleotide ribosomal RNA is filed under the name uncultured bacterium. RNAcentral's name for it is "partial 16S ribosomal RNA". It matches the Rfam family "Bacterial small subunit ribosomal RNA", at positions 793 to 1055 of the family's 1533-position model. The record is from RNAcentral.
GUCCACGCCCUAAACGAUGUCUACUAGUUGUCGGGUUUAAUUAACUUGGUAACGCAGCUAACGCGUGAAGUAGACCGCCUGGGGAGUACGGUCGCAAGAUUAAACUCAAAGGAAUUGACGGGACCCGCACAAGCGGUGGAUGAUGUGGAUUAAUUCGAUGCAACGCGAAACCUUACCUACCCUUGACAUGGCAGAAACCUCCGAGAGAUUGGAGGGUGCUCGAAAGAGAAUCUGCACACAGGUGCUGCAUGGCUGUCGU